UAAGGAAUAUUGGUCAAUGGACGAAAGUCUGAACCAGCCAUGCCGCGUGGAGGAUGAAGGCCCUCUGGGUUGUAAACUUCUUUUAUAUGGGACGAAAAAGGAUCUUUCCAGAUCAACUGACGGUACCAUGUGAAUAAGCACCGGCUAACUCCGUGCCAGCAGCCGCGGUAAUACGGAGGGUGCAAGCGUUAUCCGGAUUCACUGGGUUUAAAGGGAGCGUAGGUGGACUAGUAAGUCAGUGGUGAAAUCUCUGGGCUUAACCCGGAAACUGCCAUUGAUACUAUUAGUCUUGAAUAUUGUGGAGGUUAGCGGAAUAUGUCAUGUAGCGGUGAAAUGCUUAGAUAUGACAUAGAACACCAAUUGCGAAGGCAGCUGGCUACACAUAUAUUGACACUGAGGCUCGAAAGCGUGGGGAUCAAACA
This 422-nucleotide ribosomal RNA is filed under the name uncultured bacterium. RNAcentral's name for it is "bacterial SSU rRNA". It matches the Rfam family "Bacterial small subunit ribosomal RNA", at positions 355 to 774 of the family's 1533-position model. The record is from RNAcentral.